CGCGGCCCCGGCGGCGCAGUCUCGCGGGAUCGCUCAGCUCUCGCUCCCCGUGCGGCUCCCGGGCGGCUGCAGUCGCCGCCGACACCCCGGGCCGCCUCCGGUCGCGGCUGGACGGCGGGCUGCACGGGGACGGGGGGAGAGCCGCCGGGGAGCGUGGCCCGAGUAAUUGACUCGGAACUCAUUUCCAGGAGAGGAGCUGCUUUCAACAUGGCCAAAUAACGCAGUGAGGCAUUUGAACGCUUUAUCUUCGGACGGAAAUCGGAGCGUGAGAAGAGCGAUGAGCCCACGCCAGGCGGUGGAAGCGGGGAUCUGAAGAGGAUGGGAAAGUGUACGAUGCUGUGGCUGUGCGUUCUCCUGCCCCUCGCGAGGGGGCACAGCCUCUUCACCUGUGAGCCAGUGACGGUGCCCAGGUGCACGAAGAUGGCCUACAACAUGACGUUUUUCCCCAAUCUGAUGGGCCAUUACGAUCAGAGCACUGCUGCUGUGAAAAUGGAGCACUUUCUUCCUCUUGCAAAUCUGAACUGUUCACCAAAUGUUGAAACUUUCCUUUGCAAAGCUUUUGUACCAACCUGCACAGACCAAAUUCAUGUGGAUCCACCUUGUCGUAAAUUUUGUGAAAAAGUAUAUUCUGAUUGCAAAAACUUAAUUGACACUUUCGGGAUCCAGUGGCCUGAGGAACUUAAAUGUGACAGAUUACAGUAUUGUGAUGAGACUUUUCCUGUAACACUUGAUCCACACACAGAGAUUCUUGGUCGUCAGAAGAAAACAGAACAAGUCCAAAGAGACAUUGGAAUAUGGUGUCCAAGGCAUCUUAAGACUUCUGGGGGACAAGGCUAUAAAUUCCUAGGAAUUGACCAGUGUGCACCUCCGUGCCCCAACAUGUAUUUUAAAAGCGAAGAGCUAGAGUUUGCAAAAAGCUUUAUCGGAAUAGUUUCAAUAUUUUGUCUGUGUGCAACUCUGUUCACAUUCCUUACUUUUUUAAUUGAUGUUAAAAGAUUCAGAUACCCAGAGAGACCAAUUAUAUAUUACUCUGUCUGUUACAGCAUUGUGUCUCUUAUGUAUUUUAUUGGAUUCUUGCUAGGCAAUAGCACAGCCUGCAAUAAAGCAGAUGAGAAGCUAGAAGUUGGUGAGACGGUAGUUCUAGGCUCUCAAAAUAAGGCUUGCACCAUUGUGUUUAUGUUUUUGUAUUUUUUCACAAUGGCCGGCACUGUGUGGUGGGUGAUUCUUACCAUUACUUGGUUCUUAGCUGCAGGAAGAAAAUGGAGUUGUGAAGCCAUUGAACAAAAAGCAGUGUGGUUUCAUGCUGUUGCCUGGGGAACACCAGGUUUUCUGACUGUUAUGCUUCUUGCAAUGAAUAAGGUUGAGGGAGACAACAUUAGUGGAGUUUGCUUUGUUGGCCUUUAUGACUUGGAUGCUUCUCGCUACUUUGUACUCUUGCCACUGUGCCUUUGUGUGUUUGUCGGGCUGUCUCUUCUUUUAGCUGGGAUCAUUUCCUUAAAUCACGUUCGACAAGUGAUACAGCAUGAUGGCCGUAACCAAGAAAAACUAAAGAAAUUUAUGAUUCGAAUUGGAGUCUUCAGUGGCCUGUACCUUGUGCCAUUAGUGACACUUCUUGGAUGUUACGUCUAUGAGCAAGUGAACAGGAUCACCUGGGAGAUAACUUGGGUCUCUGACCAUUGUCGUCAGUACCAUAUCCCAUGUCCUUAUCAGGCAAAAGCAGAAACUCGACCAGAAUUGGCUUUAUUUAUGAUAAAAUACCUGAUGACUUUAAUUGUUGGCAUCUCUGCCGUCUUCUGGGUUGGAAGCAAAAAGACAUGCACAGAAUGGGCUGGGUUUUUUAAACGUAAUCGCAAGAGAGAUCCGAUCAGUGAAAGUCGAAGAGUACUGCAGGAGUCAUGUGAGUUUUUCUUAAAGCACAAUUCUAAAGUUAAACACAAAAAGCACUACAAACCAAGUUCACAUAAGCUGAAGGUCAUCUCCAAAUCCAUGGGAACCAGCACAGGAACUUCAGCAAAUCAUGGCACUUCUGCAGUAGCCAUCGCUAACCAUGAUUACUUAGGACAAGAAACUUUGACAGAAAUUCAAACCUCUCCAGAAACAUCAGUGAGGGAAGUGAGAGAAGACGGAGUGAACACCCCCAAACCAAGAGAACAGGACUGUGGGGAGCCUGCCUCCCCAGCAGUAUCCAGCUCCAAACUCUGUGGGGAACAGGCUGGCAGGAAAGGCCGGGCAGGCAACGGGAAUGACAAGAGCAGUGUCUCUGAAAGUGCACAGAGCGAAGGAAGGGUGGCUCCAAAAACUGAUGUUACUGAAACUGGCCUGGCGCAGAGCAACAGCUUGCAGGUUCCCUGUCCUUCAGAGCCAAGCAGCCUGAAAGGCUCCACAUCACUGCUCAGCCACUCGGCUUCCGGAGUUAGAAAAGAGCAGGGCGCUGGCAGUCACUCAGAUACUUGAAAACCAAGUUCUCCCACCACUUAGAGGCCUUCUAAGAUGUGGUGCCCGGACCAGCAGCCCCAGAGCAUGUGAGAAAUGCAGAUGCCCAGGCCCCUCCCCGGACCUAUUGACUGAGAGGGUCUGCAGGAGGGGCCAGCAAGCAGGGUUUGAGAUGCCCUUCAGGUGAUGCUCAUGCUCACAGAAGCCAUCCCUCAUCAUUUCUCCAAGGGGAGCGAAACACAUGGCCAUCCCGAGUCCUCUGAAUGCAAGUCUGUCUCAAGCGGUCGCGGCUUCAGCUCUGGGUUGUGGACCUGUCAGUCUGCUUCGGCUGCCAUAACAAAACCACAGGCUGGUGGCUCACACAGCAGAAAUUCAUUUUCCCACCAUACUCAAGGAGAGACGUCUGAGAUCAAGGUGUCGGCAGGCCAUCCUUUGUGCCUUGGAAGAGACAUGCAGACUGCAAAAAGCCAUCUGAACUGCCCAGAAAUGUCUUUAAUCUUGACCAUUUUCAUAACAGAUCGCCAUGGUGAACAAUUUUCUGAGGACUUCUUACAAUGCAGAGUCUGUUCAGAGAAUGCCGAUUGCAAAACCUCUGUACACAGGGCAUAAUGAAGGGGGAAAGACAGUGCCCAGUAUUGGGUAACUUAAGAAAAAGGACGAAAAUUCUAGAGGAAAUGAAAGACUACCCAAGUAGCAAGCAUGUAGCUGCAACGAUUCAGAAGAAAGGAAGUGCACUAGUAACUCUUCCAGGUCUAACACAGACCAGUGCUUAUCCUCAAGCACUGCGAAGGGCCAGCUUCUAGUUGUAUAAGCACAACGCUAAAGGGAUGCAUGUAAAAUGCACUUACCGUGAUCGCAUCGAGGGACUUCCACUCGUCUUUCAUGAAUGAUAUUUAGGUUCUAUAAUUUCCCAUCCACUGUUCUUUUCCUUAGAACUAUAAAAAUCCCACUCACUCAUGAGAUGGCAAGUGUGCUGUAUACUGACUGUUUAUUCGUGCAGGAUGUGGAUGGAGUAACCAUUUAGUACUGCUGUGAACAGGCUGCUGAGUUAGGCAUUUAGGAAUGCAGAUGAAACCACUGCACUGUUGGAUUCUAGAGCUGACUAUGUGUGAACAGGAGCCAAUAGAGGGAGAAAUUCAGGCCCCCCCAUAGCAGGACUCAUCAGUACCUUUUGCCCUCAGAUCCAUUGUUUGGGCUUCUGCUGCUCUGCUCUGCAUCACAGGAGGCUGACUCACCUCCACAGGCUGUCCCCAGGCUUUUGUUCAGGUGCCUCUAGCUGCCUUUGGAGAUUGGAGGGUGGGAAGAGGGGAGAAGAAGCCGGGGUAUUCCUCAUCUUCCUUCUCUGGCAGAGGCUUCAUCUCUUUUCAUGGCUCCAGCUUCCAUUGGAUAAGCUCAACAUGAUUCCCGCUUUGACGGGUCACCUUGUCUCUCUCUGGCUUAAAGAAGGUAGCAGCUUACAGCUAUGGGCAAUAUUGGGCUGCUUCAUUGUCCCCUACUGAGCUAGCCUUUGAAGUCAAUAUCCUACAUCAAAUUCCUUCUGUUGGAAAUACUCAGACUGGUUUCUGUCUCCUAAUCAGAACUUGAAUGAUACAGCUGAUGUAGAGGUUAAUUGUCAUCUAUUAAAUCAUGGCUUCCUUUAACUUUAUAUAGAAGCCCCUACUUUUAUUAUCCUAUAUGAUAAAAGGCUAAUAUGCAAAUUGUCCCCUCGGGAGUUCGACCGGGAGACCAGGAGUUUGAUCGCUCGCUAUGGCAUAUGCUGACC
Molecule: RNA transcript, 4195 nt
Organism: Myotis myotis
Lineage: Eukaryota; Metazoa; Chordata; Mammalia; Chiroptera; Vespertilionidae
Gene: FZD6
Gene name: frizzled class receptor 6
Exons: 9
Source: RefSeq, a predicted model, not a curated record